This 458-nucleotide ribosomal RNA is filed under the name uncultured Allobaculum sp. Its description in RNAcentral is "partial 16S ribosomal RNA". It matches the Rfam family "Bacterial small subunit ribosomal RNA", at positions 341 to 792 of the family's 1533-position model. The record is from RNAcentral. Lineage: Bacteria; Bacillati; Bacillota; Erysipelotrichia; Erysipelotrichales; Erysipelotrichaceae.
ACGGGAGGCAGCAGUAGGGAAUUUUCGUCAAUGGGCGCAAGCCUGAACGAGCAAUGCCGCGUGAACGAGGAAGGUCUUCGGAUCGUAAAGUUCUGUUGAGAGGGAAAAAGGGUCACCAGAGGAAAUGCUGGUGAAGUGAUAUUACCUUUCGAGGAAGUCACGGCUAACUACGUGCCAGCAGCCGCGGUAAUACGUAGGUGGCGAGCGUUAUCCGGAAUGAUUGGGCGUAAAGGGUGCGUAGGCGGCCUGUUAAGUCUGAAGUGAAAGGUACCGGCUCAACCGGUACAGGCUUUGGAAACUGGCAGGCUGGAGGACAGGAGAGGGCGGUGGAACUCCAUGUGUAGCGGUAAAAUGCGUAGAUAUAUGGAAGAACACCAGUGGCGAAGGCGGCCGCCUGGCCUGUUACUGACGCUGAGGCACGAAAGCGUGGGGAGCAAAUAGGAUUAGAUACCCUGGUA